This 28-nucleotide non-coding RNA is filed under the name Mus musculus (house mouse). Lineage: Eukaryota; Metazoa; Chordata; Mammalia; Rodentia; Muridae. The record is from RNAcentral.
GUUGUCACUUGUUAUAUCCCCAAAGUAC